Molecule: ribosomal RNA, 427 nt
Filed under: Notomuraenobathys microcephalus (smallhead moray cod)
Lineage: Eukaryota; Metazoa; Chordata; Actinopteri; Gadiformes; Muraenolepididae
Description: partial 16S ribosomal RNA
Rfam family: Bacterial large subunit ribosomal RNA
Source: RNAcentral
GUGCAAAGGUAGCGUAAUCACUUGUCUUUUAAAUGAAGACCCGUAUGAAUGGCAUCACGAGGGCUUAGCUGUCUCCCUUUUCCAGUCAAUGAAAUUGACCUCCCCGUGCAGAGGCGGGGAUAAGCACAUAAGACGAGAAGACCCUGUGGAGCUUUAGACCUAAAAUAAACCACAUUUAACAGCCUAUAAAAUUAGAAGUAACUUAGUGAUUUUUAUUGAAGUGUCUUUGGUUGGGGCGACCGCGGGGUAAAACACAACCCCCAUGUGGACCGGGGAUACUAUCCCUAACACCCAGGGCCUCCACCCCAAGUAACAGAACUUCUGACCUUAUGAUCCGGCACAGCCGAUUAACGAACCGAGUUACCCCAGGGAUAACAGCGCAAUCCCCUCUAAGAGCCCAUAUCGACGAGGGGGUUUACGACCUCGA